Molecule: ribosomal RNA, 748 nt
Filed under: uncultured bacterium
Lineage: Bacteria
Description: bacterial SSU rRNA
Rfam family: Bacterial small subunit ribosomal RNA
Source: RNAcentral
UCGAGCGAGUCUGCCUUGAAGAUCGGAGUGCUUGCACUCUGUGAAACAAGAUACAGGCUAGCGGCGGACGGGUGAGUAACACGUGGGUAACCUGCCCAAGAGAUCGGGAUAACACCUGGAAACAGAUGCUAAUACCGGAUAACAACAGAUGAUGCCUAUCAACUGUUUAAAAGAUGGUUCUGCUAUCACUCUUGGAUGGACCUGCGGUGCAUUAGCUAGUUGGUAGGGUAACGGCCUACCAAGGCGAUGAUGCAUAGCCGAGUUGAGAGACUGAUCGGCCACAUUGGGACUGAGACACGGCCCAAACUCCUACGGGAGGCAGCAGUAGGGAAUCUUCCACAAUGGACGCAAGUCUGAUGGAGCAACGCCGCGUGAGUGAAGAAGGGUUUCGGCUCGUAAAGCUCUGUUGUUGGUGAAGAAGGACAGGGGUAGUAACUGACCUUUGUUUGACGGUAAUCAAUUAGAAAGUCACGGCUAACUACGUGCCAGCAGCCGCGGUAAUACGUAGGUGGCAAGCGUUGUCCGGAUUUAUUGGGCGUAAAGCGAGUGCAGGCGGCUCGAUAAGUCUGAUGUGAAAGCCUUCGGCUCAACCGGAAAAUUGCAUCAGAAACUGUCGAGCUUGAGUACAGAAGAGGAGAGUGGAACUCCAUGUGUAGCGGUGAAAUGCGUAGAUAUAUGGAAGAACACCGGUGGCGAAGGCGGCUCUCUGGUCUGUUACUGACGCUGAGGCUCGAAAGCAUGGGUAGCG